GACGAACGCUGGCGGCGUGCUUAACACAUGCAAGUCGAACGAAGUGGCGGACGGGUGAGUAACGCGUAAUCAACCUGCCCUUCAGAGGGGGACAACAGUUGGAAACGACUGCUAAUACCGCAUACUGAAGGAGGGGAUUGCGUCUGAUAAGCUCGUUGGAGGGGUAACGGCCAACCAAGGCGAUGGUCAGUAGCCGGUCCGAGGGGAAGGACGGCCACAUUGGGACUGAGACACGGCCCAGACUCCUACGGGAGGCAGCAGGGGGGAAACUUCCGAAAAGGACGAAAGGCUGACGGAGCAACGGCGCGUGAGUGGUGACGGCCUUCGGGUUGGAAAGCUCUGUUAAGCGGGAAGCGGUACCGGAAUAGAAAGCAACGGCUAACUACGUGCCAGCAGCCGCGGUAAUAC
This 408-nucleotide ribosomal RNA is filed under the name uncultured bacterium. Its description in RNAcentral is "partial 16S ribosomal RNA". It matches the Rfam family "Bacterial small subunit ribosomal RNA", at positions 28 to 526 of the family's 1533-position model. The record is from RNAcentral.